UAUUUAGAACAUAAACUGAUUGAAAAAGUAAUUGCGCAUCGAUCGUCAUUGUCUUUCGAAACCCUUCCAAUCAAUCGAAGGAACCAAAGGAAAACUUUCACAGAAUCGUAGCGCCGCGACGAAUUUUCCGAUGAAUCGCCGGCAGUGCGUGAGAGCCAUUUCGGACACAGAGAGUGAGUCCGAUCACGAAACGAUGAAGUGCUUAUCGUGUCUGGAGGAUUACCGGUCACGCGACGCCGGAACCUGCAAGGAGUGCUACGAUGAAGCCAAUGAGACUGAGGAAGAACUCAAGCGUGAGAUUGAAGACUUGAAAGCGAAGGUCGCUUUCCUCAGGUUUUGGUCCCCUCUUGAUCAUCUUCACAGUAGGUCGAAUGCACCUUGCUUUACGGAUAUCGUUUUGAUCGCCACCGGCGAUGGGCCCGAGGGAUACUCUGCGCCUCUUCCGGCUCAUAAAGCUGUCUUGGCUUAUGAAGGUGGAUGUAUGCACCUUGUUAAUAAUGUCGGGCCCGGACUCAGAAGGGGAAGAACAAAAGUCGCUCAGGGCACCUCUGUUCCAACACCUGAAGUGGAACAACCUGAACCUCAAGAGGAGGUUAGAGACAUGCCCCAAGCUAGCGAGAGAACCGUAUUGCGGGCACCAAGAACUAGAAAGCGCCGAAGGGGAGCAAGGGCCCAAGACUUGCCUGAUAUAGACCCUAUUGCUUCCUUCUCCAAGGAGGUUCCAUCGGUGCCAACCACUCUCGCCCAGCCAGCCGUCAGCCACACUCACAUUGGAUGUAUUACAAGCAUUCAUGUUAACCUCAAUGGAAAACCAGGCUCGAAUGACCCAAAUGAUGCAGACACUAGUGGCUAAUCAGACAACCGUGUGAGGGACUAAAGAUUCAGGGACUAUGACCGUGGAGUCUCGUUACCUGAAAGAAUUCCAGAGGCAUAAACCGCCUUCCUUUGACGGAGGCAAGAUGGAUCCCAUCACAGUAGAGACCUGGCUAAAGGCUAUUGAAACAACCUUCCUGUCUAUGAACUGCCCGCUGGAGUACCAGGUCCAUUGUGGGACUUACAUGUUGAAGGGAGGGGCGCACUUCUGGUGGAAAGGCGCUCAAAGGAUUAUUGCACCACAAGGAGAGACUAUCACCUGGUGCCAGUUUAAAGAAGCGUACCUCUGCAAGUACUAUCCUAUCACCGCCAGAAUGAAAAUGCGGGCAACGUUCCUUAUGCUCAAACAGGGGGACAAGUCAGUGGAGGAGUAUGAUCAGGAAUUCAACAGGCUAGCAAGGUUUUCUUUCGCAUAUGUUAGUACUGAGGAGUUGAAGGUCGAGCGAUUCAUUGCUGGCCUAAGAGAGGAUCUAAAAUGGCAUGUGGCAGCCCUGGCAUCCCCUCUGAUUAUGCAGAAGCCCUUCGAGUGGCCAGCCUCAUUGACAUGCCCCGCAUUGACAAGUUACAAUCAGGAUCAGCCCAGUCAUCCCACACCGCAAUUCAAGGAAAGAGGACAGACUGGAACCACCCCAAAAUUGGUAGACUGCCCCGCAGUCGCACUGAUAAGUGGGGGGUUCCGAACAGGACCAUUUGUCCUAAUUGUCGGCGUCCUCACAUGGGGGAGUGCAGAGCAGGGACAGAUGCAUGCUUCAAAUGUGGCCAAGAAGGGCACUUUGCAGCAGACUGCCCUCAGAGGAACGAUCAACAUACUAACUGACCUGCGGCACAAAAUCAGAGGGGCCGGGUGCUCAACCUCAGCAGGGGCGAGCUGUAGCCCAUGCAACCACAGUCAGACAAGCUGACAAGCCCGACGCAGUUAUUACAGGUGUGUGAGGCGUCGGGUCAAGAGAGGGCGUGAUCAGAGAUGGAUCUGGGUCGUUACAAAUGGUAUAAGAGCCAGACACCGGACGAUGUGCCAGCCUUCUCGCUGUUCCCCAA
Non-coding RNA from Cucurbita pepo subsp. pepo (vegetable marrow), 1911 nucleotides. NCBI's taxonomy places the organism in Eukaryota, Viridiplantae, Streptophyta, Magnoliopsida, Cucurbitales, Cucurbitaceae. The record is from RefSeq and is a predicted model, not a curated record.